RNAcentral lists this ribosomal RNA (551 nucleotides) under uncultured bacterium. RNAcentral's name for it is "bacterial SSU rRNA". It matches the Rfam family "Bacterial small subunit ribosomal RNA", at positions 374 to 916 of the family's 1533-position model. The record is from RNAcentral.
GGGGCAACCCUGAUCCAGCCAUGCCGCGUGAGUGAAGAAGGCCUUCGGGUUGUAAAGCUCUUUCGGCCGGGAAGAAAUCGUACAGGUUAAUACCCUGUGCGGAUGACGGUACCGGCAUAAGAAGCACCGGCUAGCUACGUGCCAGCAGCCGCGGUAAUACGUAGGGUGCGAGCGUUAAUCGGAAUUACUGGGCGUAAAGCGUGCGCAGGCGGUUUUGUAAGACAGGCGUGAAAUCCCCGGGCUCAACCUGGGAACUGCGCUUGUGACUGCAAGGCUAGAGUAUGGCAGAGGGGGGUGGAAUUCCACGUGUAGCAGUGAAAUGCGUAGAGAUGUGGAGGAACACCAAUGGCGAAGGCAGCCCCCUGGGCCAAUACUGACGCUCAUGCACGAAAGCGUGGGUAGCAAACAGGAUUAGAUACCCUGGUAGUCCACGCCCUAAACGAUGUCAACUAGGUGUUGGGUGGGUAAAACCAUUUAGUACCGGAGCUAACGCGUGAAGUUGACCGCCUGGGGAGUACGGCCGCAAGGUUAAAACUCAAAGGAAUUGACGG